This 465-nucleotide ribosomal RNA is filed under the name uncultured bacterium. RNAcentral describes it as "partial 16S ribosomal RNA". It matches the Rfam family "Bacterial small subunit ribosomal RNA", at positions 339 to 795 of the family's 1533-position model. The record is from RNAcentral.
CUACGGGUGGCUGCAGUGAGGAAUCUUGCGCAAUGGGGGAAACCCUGACGCAGCGACGCCGCGUGGGUGAUGAAGGCCUUCGGGUCGUAAAGCCCUGUCGAGAGGGAAGAAUUGCAUUUAGGUUAAUAGCCUAAUUGUUUGACGGUACCUCCAAAGGAAGCACCGGCUAGCUCCGUACCAGCAGCCGCGGUAAUACGGAGGGUGCAAGCGUUGUUCGGAAUCACUGGGCGUAAAGGGCGUGUAGGCGGCUGAGUAAGUCAGGUGUGAAAUCCCUCGGCUCAACCGAGGAAGUGCAUUUGAUACUGCUCAUCUUGAGUACUGGAGAGGGAGAUGGAAUUCCCGGUGUAGAGGUGAAAUUCGUAGAUAUCGGGAGGAACACCAGUGGCGAAGGCGAUCUCCUGGACAGAUACUGACGCUAAGGCGCGAAAGCGUGGGGAGCAAACAGGAUUAGAUACCCUAGUAGUC